GAUGAACGCUGGCGGCGUGCCUAAUACAUGCAAGUCGAGCGGCGCGUGGGCGGGUGUGUAAAACGUGGAUAACCUCCUAUAAGACUGGGAUAACUACGGGGAACCGGAGCCAAAACGGCAACUUAUAGAUGGAUCCGCGCGGCAUUAGCUAGUUUGUAAGGUAACGGCUUAGCAAGGCAGCGAUGCGGAGCCGACCUGAGCGGGUGAGCGUCCACACUGGAACUGAGACACGGGCCAUACUCCUACGGGAGGCAGCAGUAGGGAAUAUUCGGCAAUGGGCGAAAGUCUGACCGAGCGAUGCCGCGUGAGUGAAGAAGGUUUUCGGAUCGUAAAGCUCUGUUGUGAGAGAAGCGGUACCUGACCAAAAAGCCACGGCUAACUACGUGCCAGCAGCCGCGGUAAUUC
This 405-nucleotide ribosomal RNA is filed under the name uncultured bacterium. Its description in RNAcentral is "partial 16S ribosomal RNA". It matches the Rfam family "Bacterial small subunit ribosomal RNA", at positions 28 to 526 of the family's 1533-position model. The record is from RNAcentral.